Molecule: ribosomal RNA, 879 nt
Filed under: uncultured bacterium
Lineage: Bacteria
Description: bacterial SSU rRNA
Rfam family: Bacterial small subunit ribosomal RNA
Source: RNAcentral
AUGAACGCUAGCUACAGGCUUAACACAUGCAAGUCGAGGGGAAACGACAUCGAAAGCUUGCUUUUGAUGGGCGUCGACCGGCGCACGGGUGAGUAACGCGUAUCCAACCUGCCCAUCACUUGGGGAUAACCUUGCGAAAGUAAGACUAAUACCCAAUGAUAUCUCUAGAAGACAUCUGAAAGAGAUUAAAGAUUUAUCGGUGAUGGAUGGGGAUGCGUCUGAUUAGCUUGUUGGCGGGGUAACGGCUCACCAAGGCGACGAUCAGUAGGGGUUCUGAGAGGAAGGUCCCCCACAUUGGAACUGAGACACGGUCCAAACUCCUACGGGAGGCAGCAGUGAGGAAUAUUGGUCAAUGGACGAGAGUCUGAACCAGCCAAGUAGCGUGCAGGAUGACGGCCCUAUGGGUUGUAAACUGCUUUUAUAAGGGAAUAAAGUGAGUCUCGUGAGACUUUUUGCAUGUACCUUAUGAAUAAGGACCGGCUAAUUCCGUGCCAGCAGCCGCGGUAAUACGGAAGGUCCGGGCGUUAUCCGGAUUUAUUGGGUUUAAAGGGAGCGUAGGCCGGAGAUUAAGCGUGUUGUGAAAUGUAGACGCUCAACGUCUGCACUGCAGCGCGAACUGUUUUCCUUGAGUACGCACAAAGUGGGCGGAAUUCGUGGUGUAGCGGUGAAAUGCUUAGAUAUCACGAAGAACUCCGAUUGCGAAGGCAGCUCACUGGAGCGCAACUGACGCUGAAGCUCGAAAGUGCGGGUAUCGAACAGGAUUAGAUACCCUGGUAGUCCGCACGGUAAACGAUGGAUGCCCGCUGUUGGUCUGAAUAGGUCAGCGGCCAAGCGAAAGCAUUAAGCAUCCCACCUGGGGAGUACGCCGGCAACGGUGAA